Molecule: transfer RNA, 83 nt
Filed under: Schistocephalus solidus
Lineage: Eukaryota; Metazoa; Platyhelminthes; Cestoda; Diphyllobothriidea; Diphyllobothriidae
Rfam family: tRNA
About the family: Transfer RNA (tRNA) molecules are approximately 80 nucleotides in length. Their secondary structure includes four short double-helical elements and three loops (D, anti-codon, and T loops).
Source: Rfam by way of RNAcentral
GGACUCGUAGCUGAGUUGGCUAGAGCGUUGGCUGUACUAAAGCCUACCCCUUGUUGGUGUGGGUUUGAAUCCCACCGAGUUUU